This 92-nucleotide transfer RNA is filed under the name compost metagenome. RNAcentral's name for it is "tRNA-Ser". It matches the Rfam family "tRNA". From Rfam's summary of the family: Transfer RNA (tRNA) molecules are approximately 80 nucleotides in length. Their secondary structure includes four short double-helical elements and three loops (D, anti-codon, and T loops). Further hydrogen bonds mediate the characteristic L-shaped molecular structure. tRNAs have two regions of fundamental functional importance: the anti-codon, which is responsible for specific mRNA codon recognition, and the 3' end, to which the tRNAs corresponding amino acid is attached (by aminoacyl-tRNA synthetases). tRNAs cope with the degeneracy of the genetic code in two manners: having more than one tRNA (with a specific anti-codon) for a particular amino acid; and 'wobble' base-pairing, i.e. permitting non-standard base-pairing at the 3rd anti-codon position. The record is from RNAcentral.
GGAGCAGUGUCCGAAUGGCAAGGGGUCCGGUUUGAACCCGGAUUAAGGCGGGCUAGUACCUCGCUGUGCAGGUUCAAAUCCUGUCUGCUCCU